This is a long non-coding RNA of Lineus longissimus, 280 nucleotides long. RefSeq lists it as uncharacterized. Lineage: Eukaryota; Metazoa; Nemertea; Pilidiophora; Heteronemertea; Lineidae. The transcript is spliced from 4 exons. The record is from RefSeq and is a predicted model, not a curated record.
GCUCAUCUCUGCUGAUUAUGACAGGCGUGCAACGGCACACAUCCACAGAGCACUCUUCAAAUCAUCUACACAGUGGUUAUCCAACUAGGAUUAUAAAGGCACACAUUGACAUAGACCACUGUUGCAAUCAACGACACAGUCGCUAUCCAAGUAGCAUUAUAGAGCUGUCAUGCAACGCAAGAACUGUGCUAUCUGCCAUCGCACAUCAACGAAGAAGUGCAGCCGCCCACAUUCCACCUCACGUCUGUCCGACCAGCUGCAAUCCUCGAGGACGCCCCAC